This 816-nucleotide non-coding RNA is filed under the name Pan troglodytes (chimpanzee). Lineage: Eukaryota; Metazoa; Chordata; Mammalia; Primates; Hominidae. The record is from RNAcentral.
CACUGUGCCACGGGACCCUGGUCUUUGAAACCUUGGCGUGCGCGAGAAUUUCCCAGUGAGUUUGUUAAAAUGCAGAUUCCUCGGGUCUGCGUAGACAGACUGUGCCCCACGCUUUUCUAAGUCAGUUGUUUCUCGGGCUACCCUUUAAGAGACACUGCUGGAUGGCCUGGUGAAGAAAAUACAGAAACAGAUGGGUACAAGAACUAGGAAAACGGCUAAGAAAGUGUUUUGGUCCUGACUACUACCAUUUCGCUCUGUGAUUUGGGGCAAUUCACAUUGGCUUCCCUGCCCUUUCUUCUUUGUCAAAAGACAAAAUCACAACAAAUUUAGUUUAAAGAUUUUUUUUUUCUUAAGAGACGGACUCUGGCAAUGUUGCCCAGGCUGGAAGGCAGUGGCUAUUCACAGGUGCGGUCAUAGCAAUCAUGGCUAUCACAGGUGCAUCCUGGAACUCCUGGCCUCAAGUGAUCCUUCUGCCUCAGCCUCCGGAGUAGCUGGGACUUAAGGUAUGACAGAGCCAAAACUCCAAGUCAUGUCAGUAGGGCAUGCCCAAUAGAAAAUGCUUUGACAUCUAACAACACCCAGAACCAAUGAUUCCUCCCUGUGGUACCAAGAAGACCUAGACAUGAUCGGAACCUAAAUGCUGGAACUCUUUCGGGAGCAAAGGGUCUGUUGACCAGAAAGAUCCAGGGCUAAAAUCCACCUCAACAUACCUGUGUAGUCAAAUUUGACACCCUCCAAUCAGACCCUGCCAAGCUGGGUCUUAUACGUUUCCUUGCCAUCUGUAUUAGUCUGUUUUCACGCUGCUGAUAAAGACAU